RNAcentral lists this ribosomal RNA (2904 nucleotides) under Enterobacter hormaechei. Its description in RNAcentral is "23S ribosomal RNA". It matches the Rfam family "Bacterial large subunit ribosomal RNA". Lineage: Bacteria; Pseudomonadati; Pseudomonadota; Gammaproteobacteria; Enterobacterales; Enterobacteriaceae. The record is from RNAcentral.
GGUUAAGCGACUAAGCGUACACGGUGGAUGCCCUGGCAGUCAGAGGCGAUGAAGGACGUGCUAAUCUGCGAAAAGCGCCGGCGAGGUGAUAUGAACCCUUGACCCGGCGAUGUCCGAAUGGGGAAACCCAGUGUGUUCCGACACACUAUCGUUAACUGAAUACAUAGGUUAACGAGGCGAACCGGGGGAACUGAAACAUCUAAGUACCCCGAGGAAAAGAAAUCAACCGAGAUUCCCCCAGUAGCGGCGAGCGAACGGGGAGCAGCCCGGAGUCUGAAUCAGCUUGUGUGUUAGUGGAACGGUCUGGAAAGUCCGACGGUACAGGGUGAUAGUCCCGUACACGAAAAUGCACAGGUUGUGAACUCGAAGAGUAGGGCGGGACACGUGGUAUCCUGUCUGAAUAUGGGGGGACCAUCCUCCAAGGCUAAAUACUCCUGACUGACCGAUAGUGAACCAGUACCGUGAGGGAAAGGCGAAAAGAACCCCGGCGAGGGGAGUGAAAAAGAACCUGAAACCGUGUACGUACAAGCAGUGGGAGCACCUUCGGGUGUGACUGCGUACCUUUUGUAUAAUGGGUCAGCGACUUAUAUUCUGUAGCAAGGUUAACCGUAUAGGGGAGCCGAAGGGAAACCGAGUCUUAACUGGGCGUUAAGUUGCAGGGUAUAGACCCGAAACCCGGUGAUCUAGCCAUGGGCAGGUUGAAGGUUGGGUAACACUAACUGGAGGACCGAACCGACUAAUGUUGAAAAAUUAGCGGAUGACCUGUGGCUGGGGGUGAAAGGCCAAUCAAACCGGGAGAUAGCUGGUUCUCCCCGAAAGCUAUUUAGGUAGCGCCUCGUGAACUCAUCUUCGGGGGUAGAGCACUGUUUCGGCUAGGGGGCCAUCCCGGCUUACCAACCCGAUGCAAACUACGAAUACCGAAGAAUGUUAUCACGGGAGACACACGGCGGGUGCUAACGUCCGUCGUGAAGAGGGAAACAACCCAGACCGCCAGCUAAGGUCCCAAAGUCAUGGUUAAGUGGGAAACGAUGUGGGAAGGCACAGACAGCCAGGAUGUUGGCUUAGAAGCAGCCAUCAUUUAAAGAAAGCGUAAUAGCUCACUGGUCGAGUCGGCCUGCGCGGAAGAUGUAACGGGGCUAAACCAUGCACCGAAGCUGCGGCAGCGACGCUUAUGCGUUGUUGGGUAGGGGAGCGUUCUGUAAGCCGUUGAAGGUGUGCUGUGAGGCAUGCUGGAGGUAUCAGAAGUGCGAAUGCUGACAUAAGUAACGAUAAAGCGGGUGAAAAGCCCGCUCGCCGGAAGACCAAGGGUUCCUGUCCAACGUUAAUCGGGGCAGGGUGAGUCGACCCCUAAGGCGAGGCCGAAAGGCGUAGUCGAUGGGAAACAGGUUAAUAUUCCUGUACUUGGUGUUACUGCGAAGGGGGGACGGAGAAGGCUAUGUCAGCCGGGCGACGGUUGUCCCGGUUUAAGCAUGUAGGCGGAGGUUCCAGGUAAAUCCGGUACCUUUUAACGCUGAGGUGUGAUGACGAGGCACUACGGUGCUGAAGUGAUAAAUGCCCUGCUUCCAGGAAAAGCCUCUAAGCAUCAGGUAACACGAAAUCGUACCCCAAACCGACACAGGUGGUCAGGUAGAGAAUACCAAGGCGCUUGAGAGAACUCGGGUGAAGGAACUAGGCAAAAUGGUGCCGUAACUUCGGGAGAAGGCACGCUGAUAGGUAGGUGAAGCCCCUGCGGGCGGAGCUGAAAUCAGUCGAAGAUACCAGCUGGCUGCAACUGUUUAUUAAAAACACAGCACUGUGCAAACACGAAAGUGGACGUAUACGGUGUGACGCCUGCCCGGUGCCGGAAGGUUAAUUGAUGGGGUUAGCGGCAACGCGAAGCUCUUGAUCGAAGCCCCGGUAAACGGCGGCCGUAACUAUAACGGUCCUAAGGUAGCGAAAUUCCUUGUCGGGUAAGUUCCGACCUGCACGAAUGGCGUAAUGAUGGCCAGGCUGUCUCCACCCGAGACUCAGUGAAAUUGAACUCGCUGUGAAGAUGCAGUGUACCCGCGGCAAGACGGAAAGACCCCGUGAACCUUUACUAUAGCUUGACACUGAACACUGGUCCUUGAUGUGUAGGAUAGGUGGGAGGCUUUGAAGCGUGGACGCCAGUCUGCGUGGAGCCGCCCUUGAAAUACCACCCUUUAAUGGCUGGUGUUCUAACGUAGACCCGUGAUCCGGGUUGCGGACAGUGUCUGGUGGGUAGUUUGACUGGGGCGGUCUCCUCCCAAAGAGUAACGGAGGAGCACGAAGGUUGGCUAAUCCUGGUCGGACAUCAGGAGGUUAGUGCAAUGGCAUAAGCCAGCUUGACUGCGAGCGUGACGGCGCGAGCAGGUGCGAAAGCAGGUCAUAGUGAUCCGGUGGUUCUGAAUGGAAGGGCCAUCGCUCAACGGAUAAAAGGUACUCCGGGGAUAACAGGCUGAUACCGCCCAAGAGUUCAUAUCGACGGCGGUGUUUGGCACCUCGAUGUCGGCUCAUCACAUCCUGGGGCUGAAGUAGGUCCCAAGGGUAUGGCUGUUCGCCAUUUAAAGUGGUACGCGAGCUGGGUUUAGAACGUCGUGAGACAGUUCGGUCCCUAUCUGCCGUGGGCGCUGGAGAAUUGAGGGGGGCUGCUCCUAGUACGAGAGGACCGGAGUGGACGCAUCACUGGUGUUCGGGUUGUCAUGCCAAUGGCACUGCCCGGUAGCUAAAUGCGGAAGAGAUAAGUGCUGAAAGCAUCUAAGCACGAAACUUGCCCCGAGAUGAGUUCUCCCUGAGACCUUGAGUCUCCUGAAGGAACGUUAAAGACGAUGACGUUGAUAGGUCGGGUGUGUAAGCGCAGCGAUGCGUUGAGCUAACCGAUACUAAUGAACCGUGAGGCUUAACCUU